RNAcentral lists this transfer RNA (87 nucleotides) under Nitrospinota bacterium. RNAcentral describes it as "tRNA-Leu". It matches the Rfam family "tRNA". From Rfam's summary of the family: Transfer RNA (tRNA) molecules are approximately 80 nucleotides in length. Their secondary structure includes four short double-helical elements and three loops (D, anti-codon, and T loops). Lineage: Bacteria; Pseudomonadati; Nitrospinota. The record is from RNAcentral.
GCCGAAGUGGUGGAACCGGUAGACACGCCAUCUUGAGGGGGUGGUGGGCGUAAGCCCGUGGGGGUUCGAGUCCCCCCUUCGGCACCA